CUGCGGAGGAUCAUUACCGAGUGAGGGCCCUCUGGGUCCAACCUCCCACCCGUGUUUAUCGUACCUUGUUGCUUCGGCGGGCCCGCCUCACGGCCGCCGGGGGGCAUCCGCCCCCGGGCCCGCGCCCGCCGAAGACACCAUUGAACGCUGUCUGAAGAUUGCAGUCUGAGCAUCUUAGCUAAAUCAGUUAAAACUUUCAACAACGGAUCUCUUGGUUCCGGCAUCGAUGAAGAACGCAGCGAAAUGCGAUACGUAAUGUGAAUUGCAGAAUUCAGUGAAUCAUCGAGUCUUUGAACGCACAUUGCGCCCCCUGGUAUUCCGGGGGGCAUGCCUGUCCGAGCGUCAUUGCUGCCCUCAAGCACGGCUUGUGUGUUGGGCCUCCGCCCCCCGGCUCCCGGGGGGCGGGCCCGAAAGGCAGCGGCGGCACCGCGUCCGGUCCUCGAGCGUAUGGGGCUUCGUCACCCGCUCCGUAGGCCCGGCCGGCGCCCGCCGGCGACCCCCCUCAAUCUUUCCAGGUUGACCUCGGAUCAGGUAGGGAUACCCGCUGAACUUAAGCAUAUCAAUAAGCGGAGGAAAAGAAACCAACAGGGAUUGCCUCAGUAACGGCGAGUGAAGCGGCACGAGCUCAAAUUUGAAAGCUGGCUCCUUCGGGGUCCGCAUUGUAAUUUUGCAGAGGAUGCUUCGGGAGCGGCCCCCAUCUAAGUGCCCUGGAACGGCCGUCAUA
RNAcentral lists this ribosomal RNA (724 nucleotides) under fungal sp. RNAcentral's name for it is "eukaryotic LSU rRNA". The stretch from base 192 to 345 matches the Rfam family "5.8S ribosomal RNA". Lineage: Eukaryota; Fungi. The record is from RNAcentral.